GCAGCAGCCGCGGUAAUACGUAGGUGGCAAGCGUUGUCCGGAUUUAUUGGGUUUAAAGGGUGCGUAGGCGGUCUAUUAAGUCAGUGGUGAAAUAUCGCAGCUUAACUGUGAGGGUGCCAUUGAUACUGAUGGACUUGAGUGAAGUCGAAGUAGGCGGAAUUGACGGUGUAGCGGUGAAAUGCUUAGAUAUCGUCAAGAACACCGAUAGUGAAGACAGCUUACUAGGCUUAUACUGACGCUGAGGCACGAAAGUGUGGGGAUCAAACAGGAUUAGAUACCCUGGUAGUCCACACUGUAAACGUUGAUAACUCGCUGUUGGCGAUACACAGCCAGCGGCCAAGCGCAAGCGAUAAGUUAUCCACCUGGGGAGUACGCCGGCAACGGUGAAACUCAAAGGAAUUGACGGGGGCCCGCACA
RNAcentral lists this ribosomal RNA (417 nucleotides) under uncultured bacterium. RNAcentral's name for it is "bacterial SSU rRNA". It matches the Rfam family "Bacterial small subunit ribosomal RNA", at positions 508 to 927 of the family's 1533-position model. The record is from RNAcentral.